RNAcentral lists this ribosomal RNA (804 nucleotides) under Caulobacter sp. MG34. RNAcentral's name for it is "bacterial SSU rRNA". It matches the Rfam family "Bacterial small subunit ribosomal RNA", at positions 96 to 936 of the family's 1533-position model. Lineage: Bacteria; Pseudomonadati; Pseudomonadota; Alphaproteobacteria; Caulobacterales; Caulobacteraceae. The record is from RNAcentral.
UGGCGGACGGGUGAGUAACACGUGGGAACGUGCCCUUUGGUUCGGAACAACUCAGGGAAACUUGAGCUAAUACCGGAUGUGCCCUUCGGGGGAAAGAUUUAUCGCCAUUGGAGCGGCCCGCGUCUGAUUAGCUAGUUGGUGGGGUAAAGGCCCACCAAGGCGACGAUCAGUAGCUGGUCUGAGAGGAUGAUCAGCCACAUUGGGACUGAGACACGGCCCAAACUCCUACGGGAGGCAGCAGUGGGGAAUCUUGCGCAAUGGGCGAAAGCCUGACGCAGCCAUGCCGCGUGAAUGAUGAAGGUCUUAGGAUUGUAAAAUUCUUUCACCGGGGACGAUAAUGACGGUACCCGGAGAAGAAGCCCCGGCUAACUUCGUGCCAGCAGCCGCGGUAAUACGAAGGGGGCUAGCGUUGCUCGGAAUUACUGGGCGUAAAGGGAGCGUAGGCGGACUGUUAAGUUAGAGGUGAAAGCCCAGGGCUCAACCUUGGAAUUGCCUUUGAUACUGGCAGUCUUGAGUACGGAAGAGGUAUGUGGAACUCCGAGUGUAGAGGUGAAAUUCGUAGAUAUUCGGAAGAACACCAGUGGCGAAGGCGACAUACUGGUCCGUUACUGACGCUGAGGCUCGAAAGCGUGGGGAGCAAACAGGAUUAGAUACCCUGGUAGUCCACGCCGUAAACGAUGAGUGCUAGUUGUCGGCAUGCAUGCAUGUCGGUGACGCAGCUAACGCAUUAAGCACUCCGCCUGGGGAGUACGGUCGCAAGAUUAAAACUCAAAGGAAUUGACGGGGGCCCGCCCAAGCGGUGGA